AUGACGAGAAUCAGCGCCGGUGUGAGUGUUUCGAGAACAGGAUUGAGACUAUGUUUGGGGAGGAGAAUGAUCUUUUGACACGACAACUGACAACAAGAAACUUGAUCAAAAUGAAGCUAUUUGUUGUCUUUUAUCCAUCAUCUCCAGGCCAUGAUGUCAGAGCACACCUCAUCUCAACCAGCGUACAAACCCACUUUACUGCAAUCACUAAACCAAUCAUCAGUACAUCUUCAUAAACACGUCUCAUUUCUCAAGUUCUUUCAGGUUCAGUGUUGACUGUAAGAUCUCCACGGACUGCGUUUACUGGCACUGUCAGAACAACCUCACACUCGAAACCAUGACUCCUAUCAUCAUUGGCGUAGCAGUAGGGGUGAUUUUGCUCAUCAUCAUCAUCGCCCUCAUCAGCUGUAGGGGUUGUAAUUGUUGCAUUAACGCCAGCUGAUGAGUUCAGCUCCCAGCAUUCCCUCUCAUGUCAGCUCGACCGGACCCUUGCGUACAGCAGUAGACCGCGCCUUAUUGCAUGAAGAUUAUACAAGACCAGCGGAUGUGCUUUAGUCUAUUCUUUUGUCUCUUUUAUUUUCAGUUUAUUCUUAGAGUUUGGUUUUUGUUCAGACAGUUUUACUUUAUUAAGUGUUUUGUUUCAGUUUUGUUGAUGUUUCUUCCAUUAUAUUUAGUUUCAGUGUUUUAGAGCUGUCACAGUUAACAGAGCUGAAUGUAAAUCUAGUGUCAUGUUUACUGCAGGUGGAUUGAUUAUAAAUGCUCAAAAUUGACUGAUUAAUAUAUUGUGUAUCAAAGACUAAAAUUAACUCAUGGUCAGUUUUAUUUUGUUAGUUUUGUUGGUUAAUGUGAUUGAGUUUCAGCUUUUUCACUUUUGUUAUUUAGGUUUUCAUUAGUUUUCACUAACAGUGAAAUGUUCACAGAUGUCUUAAAUGACUUUCACACAAAACCUGCAAACAUCAGGAAAAGAAACAGCCAUGAUUCUGUUUGAAGGAAGUGUGAACAAGUUUUCUGUUGAGUUUAUUCUUCUGAAGGUCUAAAAUGUGAGAAAGAUUUCCCACAGUUCUGUCACGAGUGUUCAACACUGGAUCCCGACUGAUGAAAUAAAAGAGAAAUGAUCU
Molecule: long non-coding RNA, 1118 nt
Organism: Megalobrama amblycephala (Wuchang bream)
Lineage: Eukaryota; Metazoa; Chordata; Actinopteri; Cypriniformes; Xenocyprididae
Exons: 3
Source: RefSeq, a predicted model, not a curated record